AUACGGAGGACGCGAGCGUUAUCCGGAUUCAUUGGGUUUAAAGGGUGCGCAGGCGGCCGUGCAAGUCAGCGGUGAAAGCCCGGGGCUCAACCCCGGAAGUGCCGUUGAUACUGCGUGGCUGGAAUGCGGUCGAGGCGGGCGGAACGUGGCGUGUAGCGGGGAAAAGCGUAUAUAUGCCACAGAACGCCGAUAGCGGAGGCGGCUCGCCAGGCCUGCAUUGACGCUCGGGCACGAAAGCGUGGGGAUCGAACAGGAUUAGAUACCCUGGUAGUCCACGCCGUAAACGAUGGGCGCUCGUCGUCGGCGACAGACAGUCGGCGGCCAAGCGAAAGCGAUAAGCGCCCCACCUGGGGAGUACGGUCGCAAGGCUGAAACUCAAAUGAAUUGACGGGG
RNAcentral lists this ribosomal RNA (393 nucleotides) under uncultured bacterium. RNAcentral's name for it is "partial 16S ribosomal RNA". It matches the Rfam family "Bacterial small subunit ribosomal RNA", at positions 523 to 918 of the family's 1533-position model. The record is from RNAcentral.